UACGAAGGGGGCUAGCGUUGUUCGGAGUUACUGGGCGUAAAGGGCGCGUAGGCGGCCUGUUAAGUCGGGUGUGAAAGCCCGGGGCUCAACCCCGGAGGUGCACUCGGAACUGGCAGGCUCGAGUGCGGGAGAGGAUGGUGGAAUUCCCAGUGUAGAGGUGAAAUUCGUAGAUAUUGGGAAGAACACCGGUGGCGAAGGCGGCCAUCUGGACCGUUACUGACGCUGAGGCGCGAAAGCGUGGGGAG
This 245-nucleotide ribosomal RNA is filed under the name uncultured bacterium. RNAcentral's name for it is "partial 16S ribosomal RNA". It matches the Rfam family "Bacterial small subunit ribosomal RNA", at positions 524 to 768 of the family's 1533-position model. The record is from RNAcentral.